Non-coding RNA from Chelonoidis abingdonii (Abingdon island giant tortoise), 803 nucleotides. Lineage: Eukaryota; Metazoa; Chordata; Testudines; Testudinidae. The record is from RefSeq and is a predicted model, not a curated record.
AGAGACUGGUAGAUUCCAAGGGGGGACCAAGGCUGAGCUCCUGGAUAACACAGGCCAGAGAACUGACCCCAGUUAAUUCCUGGCCAAAUCUUCGCUUCUCUCCGUAGAGGCAAAAAUUUGUCUGAUAAACGAAAGUGAAACUCCCUGUUUCUCUUAUGUGCUUGUAGUCAGCAGCCCGACUGGUGGGGGUGUGAAGGGAGGUGGGGCUGCCCUGCUGUUUGUAAUUUUUUGUGUUAUCUGCCUAUGGUUUCGUGUAUUCCCAUGGGCUCUAAAUCCAGAACAAACCGACGUGACUCUUGAACUCGAGACUGUGGCCAGCAGAGCUGAACCCACAGAAAUAUGAUUAACAUUAAAUAGAAUAAAAGAUGACACAGGUCACCCCUCCCCCCGCCUCUCUCUUUCUAGGAAGGAUGGUUUUGGGGUGUCUAUUGACCCUGAGCCCAGGUCCUCCUGCCAUUGGCUAAUCACAGUAGGCCAGGAGGGAUCACCAAAAUAGCCCCCCCAAAUAUCCUGAUCGGGGUUUCCUGCCCCCAGCACCUAACAGAUAAGGGGACCUGCAGGAAGCCCUGCUGGAGAACCAGCCCCAUCCACUAGAGUGGCAGCAAUAUGGCCAUAGCUGUGGGGUCGAGGGGCCAGCCCCUGGCUCUGGGGGAAUGUGGGGCAAUCGUGGAGCAAUGGGGAGGUGAUAGCAGGGAGCAGGGUCCUGGAGGAAUGGGGGGAGAUGGUGGUGAGUUGGGAGGGGGGAUCCCAGUUCAGAGAUGUGUCUGUCCCAACCCCUGCCCUGUCCCCGCUCCCCUCACAGA